GGGGGAAAAAUUAAUAAUUUAUAAAUAAUAAAAAAAUUUUUAAAUAAGAAUAAUUUAAAGGGGGUUAAAGUAUUUUUAUUGAAAAAAUUAAUUAUUUUAUAGUGUAAUAGUAUUGUGAAAGAAUUUUGAAAUAAUUGAAAAUUUAAAUUAUUUAAAAGUAAUUUUAAUUUAAUGUAUCUUGUGUAUCAGAGUUUAUUAAAAAUUUUUAUUAUAUAUUAAAUUCUCGAAUUUAAAAGAGAUAAUUAAUUAAUAAAUUUAUUGUAGCAAAAAUAUUUUAAAUAAUUAAUUGGAAAUGAAAUGUUAAUCGUUUUUAAAUAUAUCUAGUUUUUUUAGAAAAAAAUUUAAUUUUAUAUUAUCUUAUAAAAUUUUUAAUUAAUUAAAAAUUUUAUAAGAUAAUUUUAUAUUUUAGGGGAUAAGCUUUAAAUUAAAUUUAUAUAAAUUUUAUUAUUUAAAAAUUGAAAAUUAUAUGAUUUAUAUUGUUAAUAAAUUUUAGUUUAUUAUAAAUAAUUUCAUUGAUAAAUAAAAUUUAAAAUAAAUUUUAUAUUUUUAUAAAAAAAAAAUUAAAAAUAAAAUUUGAUUUAAUAUAAUGAUAAAAUUAGUAUACAUAUAUAAUAUAAUGUUUAAUUUAUAUUUUUAUUUAAAAAAUAAUUAAAAGGAAUUCGGCAAAAAUUUAUAUUCACUUGUUUAUCAAAAACAUGUCUUUUUGUAAAUAAUAUAAAGUCUAAUCUGCCCACUGAUUUAAUUAUUAAAGGGCUGCAGUAUUUUGACUGUACAAAGGUAGCAUAAUCAUUAGUCAUUUAAUUGAUGACUUGUAUGAAAGAUUGGAUGAAAUAUAUACUGUCUCUUAUUUAUAAUAUAAAAUUUAAUUUUUUAGUUAAAAAGCUAAAAUUAAUUAAAAAGACGAGAAGACCCUAUAGAGUUUUAUAAAUUAUAAUUAUUAAGAUUAUUUAUAAAAUUAAUAAUUAAAAUAAUUUAAUUUAAUUUGUUGGGGUGACAAAAAAAUAAAAAUAACUUUUUUUUUAUAAAACAUAAAUAAGUGAAUAAUUGAUCCAAUAUUAUUGAUUAUAAGAAAAAAUUACCUUAGGGAUAACAGCGUAAUUUUUUUUUUUAGUUCAUAUAAAAAAAAGAGUUUGCGACCUCGAUGUUGGAUUAAGAUAAAAUUUAAAUGCAGAAGUUUAAAAUUUUUGAUCUGUUCGAUCAUUAAAAUCUUACAUGAUCUGAGUUCAAACCGGUGUGAGCCAGGUUGGUUUCUAUCUUUUAAAAUAUAAAAUAUUUUAGUACGAAAGGAUUAAAUAUUUAAAUUAAAUUUAUAUAAUGAAUGAAUUUUAUUAAAUUUUAUUUAAAAAUAUAAUUAAAAUAAAUAUAUAAUAUAUAUAUAUAUAUCUAAUUUUUA
Molecule: ribosomal RNA, 1393 nt
Filed under: Helicoverpa armigera armigera
Lineage: Eukaryota; Metazoa; Arthropoda; Insecta; Lepidoptera; Noctuidae
Description: 16S ribosomal RNA
Rfam family: Eukaryotic large subunit ribosomal RNA (bases 1086-1245)
Source: RNAcentral